CUUCGCCUACUGUGUUAGGUAAUAAUAUAUAAUAUGUUCCCUUCUUUGAUUUAAAUAUAAAUUGAAAUAUACAUUAUACUAAUUAUCGCAUUCCAUUAUUUCAGAGAUCUCUUUCCAUUUUUUAUCUAACGUAAAAAAUGAAUAAAGAGACCGGUAAGGCUGGUGAGAAGAGGACUGCAGGAGUAGAUAAAGAUCCAUCCACGUCGAAACAAAAACAACGGGAUAGCACCCCUGACAGAGUAUUGAAGUCUCGGGGUGAACUUCCACCAAAAGAGAAGCCAUCUACUUUCAAAAAACCCUUACAAGACUCAUGGCUUCAAGAAGGCCAAAAUUGAUACCUGUGAAAUAUUGCAAAGGCUUUUCUACCCAGGGCAACACUCGGGAAUAUUAAGCUCUGCACAGGUAACUGGCCCAGCAGACCUUGAUAGCACUGCCAAGAAAGACCACAGACUUGGUUCAGUGGUGAAGGUGCUCAGCCA
Molecule: long non-coding RNA, 479 nt
Organism: Trachemys scripta elegans
Lineage: Eukaryota; Metazoa; Chordata; Testudines; Emydidae
Exons: 3
Source: RefSeq, a predicted model, not a curated record